GAGCGAUUCGGCGCCAACAAUGAUCGGGGCUCAAGCGUACCACCGAAGUUGUGGGUCUUCAGGCCGCAAGGUCUGGAGGCGGUAGGGGAGCGUUCCGCAGUAGGUUGAAGGUCCAUCGUUAGAUGGGCUGGUCGAGGCGGAAGUGAGUAUGUCGGAAUGAGUAGCGAUAAACUCCGCGAGAAACGGAGUCGCCGUAAGCCUAAGGUUUCCUGGGCAAGGUUAACCCACCCAGGGUGAGUCGGUCCUAAGCUAAGGCAAAAUGGCGUCAGCGAUGGACAAGCCGCGAACAUUCGGCUACCACUCCUGCUGCGCUUGACGGGCGACGAUGACGCAGGAAGCUAGACCAUCCGGGUGUUGGAUGUCCCGGUCUAAGCUGGUAGUUCCGCCGCAAGGCGGGAUGAAAGGUGAUGGGGAGCGGAGGCUACGGCCGACGUAAACUGGUUCACGCUCUGCUGCCUAGAAAAUUCACGGCUGAAGUUCCGUCAGUGACCGUACCGCAAUCCGACACAGGUAGGCAGGUCGAAUAGACCAAGGCGCUCGAGUGACCCCUCGUUAAGGAACUCGGCAAAAUGGCCCCGUAACUUCGGGAGAAGGGGUGUCUUGCCCUGUGAAGUCCUUCGUGGAUGGAGCGGGGUGAGAUCACAGUAAAGAGGCCCAUAUGACUGUUUAGUAAAAACACAGGUCUGUGCGAAGCCGUACAGGCACGGUAUACAGACUGACACCUGCCCAAUGCCAGACGGUUAAGGAGCGGUGUGACGGCCCGCAAGGGUCGAGGCAUCAACCCGAAGCCCUGGUGAAUGGCGGCCGUAACUAUAACGGUCCUAAGGUAGCGAAAUUCCUUGUCGGGUAAGUUCCGACGCGCACGAAUGGUGUAACAAUAUGGGCGCUGUCUCAACGGGGGACUCGGCGAAAUUGUGGUCGCAGUGAAGACGCUGCGUGCCCGCAUGUAGACGAAAAGACCCCAGAACCUUUACUGCAACCUGACAUUGAACAGGUGAUUAAGCUGUGUAGGAUAGGUGGGAGGCGUUGAAACCCGGCCGCUAGGUCGGGUGGAGCCGACGGUGAAAUACCACCCUGCUUGCUCGCGUGUUCUCACGUCGAAGGCCUGAACCGGCCCGACGGACAGUGCCAGGCGGGCAGUUUGACUGGGGCGGUUCCCUCCCAAAUGGUAACGGAGGGGCCCAAAGGUGCCCUCAGCGCGGUCGGCAAUCGCGCGAUGAGUGUAAAGGCAGAAGGGCGCUUGACUGCGAGAGUGUCUACUCGAGCAGGGACGAAAGUCGGGCUUAAUGAUCCGGCGGUGGAAGGUGGUAUCGCCGUCGCUCAACGGAUAAUAGGUACUCUGGGGAUAACAGGCUUAUCGGAUCUGAGAGUUCAUAUCGACGAUCCGGUUUGGCACCUCGAUGUCGGCUCAUCGCAUCCUGCGGCUGGAGAAGGUCGCAAGGGUCCGGCUGUUCGCCGGUUAAAGCGGUACGCGAGCUGGGUUUAGAACGUAGGUAACACUGCGUCUCCCGGGAGUAAUCCUGGGAUGUCUAU
RNAcentral lists this ribosomal RNA (1533 nucleotides) under groundwater metagenome. Its description in RNAcentral is "bacterial LSU rRNA". It matches the Rfam family "Bacterial large subunit ribosomal RNA", at positions 1151 to 2925 of the family's 2925-position model. The record is from RNAcentral.